This is a long non-coding RNA of Brassica oleracea var. oleracea, 949 nucleotides long. RefSeq lists it as uncharacterized. NCBI's taxonomy places the organism in Eukaryota, Viridiplantae, Streptophyta, Magnoliopsida, Brassicales, Brassicaceae. The record is from RefSeq and is a predicted model, not a curated record. The transcript has 4 exons.
GUGAAUCAUCUGAUGCAACAAACCGAGUGACCAACAAAUCUUGUCAGACAACUUUGGCGCCCAAUAGUCUGAAGAAAGCAACGGGAAAGAUAAGAGCUGGGAAUGAGAUGACCAGGUGGGACAGAUUAAAAAGCCAAGGGGCAGAAGGAUCUUGAUUAAAUUCAUGUGAAAAUAGGAGAGAGCCUUUGCCAUGUCAUGGAAGGAAAGCGCUUUUAAACUUUCUCCAGGAGACAAUGACUGGUCCAACUCCAAACCAGGAAGCAGCAUCCAAAGCGUGUCACUGCUCUUCCCGAGAAAACUGAGAAGGAAUUUCUUUGCCUGAGGCUGGCGCUGGAAUAUCAAACAAAGGGGAUGCAAUGCAAAAGAAAGACAGUCCUUGGUCAGGAACCAAAGGCUUCAGAGCUCCAGAGGUACAUCAACUAUAACUAUCUGUGGCCCUUUUCUUGGCUUGUGCGAUCUUUGCACCAAGGCCCUAAGAUAGACGUCCCAGUUACUUUGUUACAUCUAGUGAUCGGCAAAGCACCUACCUUUUACUGGUGGCCUUGAACAGAACAUGAAAGUUAUUGCACAAUUACGAGGCAGUGAAGAAUUAUGGGAAGUUGCUAAACUGCACAACCGUGAAUCUUCUUUCCCUGAGGAACUGUUACGAAUCACUGUACUUAAAGAGAAUGGCGUUGAGGAAAUGGUUCGAAAACACAAAACGCAGACGUGAUUCCCCUCUUGCUUCUUGACCUUGUUGAUAAGUUUGACAGUAAACCCGAGGCUACGAAUCAGUGCAGAGGACCCUUAGAAGACAAAGGCUCCAUAAGCAGCAAACGCAACCGCAGCCUUCAGUGGCAGUGGUUGCUGCCGCAGUAGGACAAGCACCCAGCUAAUGAUAGAAAUGUAAAAGUAAAUAACCAAACAUUUGAAGUUUUAUAUUUCCUCAAUUCUUUACACACUUAGUAUG